Molecule: long non-coding RNA, 437 nt
Filed under: Elaeis guineensis (African oil palm)
Lineage: Eukaryota; Viridiplantae; Streptophyta; Magnoliopsida; Arecales; Arecaceae
Description: long non-coding RNA (EGUI_LNC049871)
Source: RNAcentral
UUUGUGCCAUCCAAAAAUCAGAGAGAAAGACCUUUGGGUCGUGGAGAUAUAAAAGAUGCAAGUUAGGGUGUCUAGAGAGAAAAACGUGAAGAAGAAGAGGGUCUUCUUCUUGGGUUUUUUGUUUUCAUAUCUUUCCUCCCUCCAUCUUGAGUUUCCUGAGAGCGUCUCAAAUUUGAAACUCCUCUUUUUACUUUCCAUCUUUGGAAGAGUCCAAAUCAAGAAGAAGGAGGCACCUGAUCAACCAUCAAAGAAGGAUCAGCGCAGUACUAGCAUACUGUGCUGAUUUCCUGAAGCAGGACUUCUGAUCGAGAUUCGUGGGCUCGUGUGGACAACUCCUAGAGGCCGGAUGCAUGUGCGGCUUGCAACAUCAUUCUUAAGCCCGGAUCAGUGAGGUUAGAGCGUCUAACUUGCAAGGUAAUAGAUCUGAUCUAUUGUUU